GGCUCCGAGCCGAGCCCUCGGGAGGGGAGCAGGAAGGAGGCAGGGCUCCACCCCAGGAAGGGCAGCUGUCCUCUGGAUGGAGGAUGACCCUGAGCUGGAAGGAGCCUUGUGAGCAGGCAUCCAGCCCUCUCACUCGUGGACGGGAGACAAAAGCACAGAGAAGGGAAGGGACUCCUCCAAGUUCAUGUGUCUCUUGGCGGGGGGCACAGGCGAGGUUUCAUCCACAGCAGCAUACGGCCUCCGUUUAAUUUAGCUAACCACAGCAGACCAGCAAGCCGGUGACCAAGGCCAAGCCAGACCUCGCUGAGCUCCUUUCAUGAAAGCAAAAUGGAAGCGCGUUCCCAUCACUGCCAGAUGAGGACAGUUGCAGAUCAGCCAUGGGGAUGUUCACAGAGCAAUCCAGAAGAGAGAGCACCCUGUCUCCUGUUGGCCACCAAGUCCGAACUGCUCUACCCAGAGCAAAAAGUUACUGAUGAUUCCAGCUACUCACGUCUUGGGGGCUAACACUCCAAGCUACUUCACAGUCACCAUGAACACCGUCGUCAUAACCAUGACAGCCGCUCAUCACACAGUUUUUAUUGCUCUGCUCCAACUGCAUGCGCCCCAGUCCGCACAAGCCUCGCCAUAACCUCACGGUACAGACAAGGAAACUCAGAACUGAGAAUACCCACUGGAUGGGAUGGUCAUGAAGAUGGGAAGGAAUCCAUGUCUGAGACUCGUGAGCUGGGGCGUGUGGCAGAAGUGACGCAAAGACACCGGACACAUCACGGCAGAGCUUUCCACUGCUCAGCUUCACUCAACCACUUGGGCAAAAUGAGUUCCUUUUACAUUAAGAAUCAGAGAGGAUUCUGGAGAAGGACGAAAAGCUGGCAUUGCUUUUAAAAGAAAAAAAAAAAGAAAAGAAAAAAAGAAAGAGGAAUCUCUAUCCAGCAGGGAAAAAGGAAAGAGAGGGGAUCCCAUUGCCUCUGGAGCAUAGGCGCUGUGUCGUCCCAGGCAUUUCUUGCUUUCUGGGAGUCCCGUCUAUGAUUCUCUCAGACCCACAAAAUGCACAGCCUACUUUGCUUAGAAGGUGCUUCUGGGACGGGCUGGUGAGGACGUAGGAAGGUCAGGGGCCUGGCACGUGGCAGGUCCUCAAUAAAGGGUAGCGGGGGUGUUCCCCUGGGGUUGUCGCGGGGGAAGAGUUUAAAGCACGGCACGAUGGUGAGUGAACCUGUCCGGCUGACGGAGCCUAUGAGUGGUAUUGCCUCCUGAGCUCCCUUGAGAGAGGCAGAGUUCAGGGGUGGGAAGCACAUGGGUCUGGAGUGCAGGAGACUUUGGUCUCCGCUCCACUGUCACAAGCUGGCUGUGUGUCCUUGGACGCGACACUUCACGUCUCUGAGCCUGGGUUAACUUACCUACCAAAUGCAAACAAAUGUCCUAAGGAAGGCUUCCUUGCAGGGCUCUGUGCAGAUGACGCAGGACCAAGUGGGUGGAGGUGGAGGAGGGGAUAAAGAAGCCUCCAGAUGCUCUUUUACGAUCAGGGCUCCCAGCUGCAGCUCAGUGCAGCUGGGUGAGCAGGUAAAGCACUUUGUGAACAGCUGACCACAGUCUCCGCAGGAGCCCUGCUGCCCGCUCGGGAGCUGAAGACCAGGAGGCCGAGGCACUAAGUGACUUUCUAAGAUCCGGGGCCAGAGGUGGGGGAGCUGGGCCCGGAGCCCCUGACUCUCAGCUGCUGCUCUCCCCUCCCACCAUGCUCCUUCUCCCUCGUCAGUGUGGCCCAAAGAUGAAAGGAGGGGCCUUGGUAGGCGACGAGCUCCCAGCACCUCCAGUGCUCAUUCAGAGGUUGGCAAAGAUGGGAGUGUGAAAUCCAAGCCCUGGGGAUGCUCCAACCUACUGAUCUCUGAAACACUGCUCCUGAUUCCUCAGAUUCUGGGACUCUAGCUGGCUAUCAGAUCGGGAGAGGAUGCCAAGGGCUCCGAUUUCACAGUACUCGCUAGGUUUGCUUAUGGCACGGCGCUUGACUUUUCCGCAGAGCCUUGUCCAGCACUCGGCACCCACUAAGUGCUCGAUGAAUACUUGGUGAUGGUUUUGCCGAAGUGGCCCUGGAAGCUGCUGUCCACCUGGGACAAGCCCUUUGGGACUCAGCCAGUGAGGCCACCGACACUUACUGGGUGCCUCCUGUAUACUGAGCAAGGAGAUGCCUCAGCACGUUGUCCUUACUGGACAGCAGAGAAGCUCUCGAUGCUUUGUCCCCAGACCCCAGCCCUCAAACCCCGGGGAGCCUCUCCCUCCGUCUUCAGGAGCGUCCUUAGCUGAAAGCCCAGGGCUGAGCCCGGCCCUCAUCCCUGCUCAGCCCUGCCUCUCCCUGGCCCGCUGAACCCCAUGCCACCCCUCCAGCAGAGCUCUUUGGGGCUGCUCUCUGCACAAUGGCCAUCCGGAGGGAGCUGUGUGUCCGGUCCCUCCUUGGCCAGAGGCAAAGUCCAGACCCUUCCUCCACCCUCACGGGCCUCUCGCCCACUCCUGAAUCUCCACUUUGAAAACUUCUCAUGCACACGUGAUCUCCAGGCCACAGCCACACACCCACCCCCGCUUCCCCUCCCUGUCCGGGCUGCCCCUCCCACAGGCCCCAGCCUACCCAUUUCCUCUGCCCUUUUCACCCUUUGGCGCCAGAACCAGCUAUUCUGAGCCUCUGGCCCAGCUCCUUCUCCCUGCCAGCUGCUCCCUUACUGGGGCCUCCAUGUUUGCCUCUUUGGAGUUGACUGUUCCUCAGCCCUGCCAAAAAAAAAAAAGUACCCUGAAGGCAUGUGGCACUAGGAUAUGGGGACAGCAAAGGCAGUGGGACCCAGCACAGACCUAGUGCUUGAGUUACCUCCUUGGAAAUGUUAAAUACAGACCACCACAUUGCUAGGGUGUGUGUGUGUGUGUGUGUGUGUGUGUGUGUGUGUGCGCGCGCGCGCGCGCGGGCACGCACACACCAAUAGAUUCUGGGUCCUUCCAAGAAGCUUUCCAGAGCAAUCUUUCUCCCCCCUUGCCAGAAACAAUGCAGUAGUAAGGAUAAGCCCCAACAGGAUGAAUAGUGCUUUUCUGGUUGACCAGCCUUCUUGCUUCUCUUCAUACACAGCAGCCCCUGGAUCUCAAGGUUUCUCUGAGCAGAUUCUAGGGCAAUUACUGCAGAUUUUAUAAAAUUACACGGAAUGGUAUGUUUGAAAAGAUAAUUUUCUGUACUCGGUUCUGUGAAAAGUUUCCCAUAAAAGCAGCAACAGAUAAAGGUGCCCGCCCCCAUAAAACUGUUUCAGUAGGAUCUUCGGAUCCCUUUCAGAGUGUGGGGAAGGGAACGGGGAGGAGGACAGGGCUACCAAAAGGAAAAACAAGUCCCCGUGCCUUGAUUUGGCUUUGGUGCCCAGGAAAACAUACUCUGAGGGCACAGCCAAUAUUUGGUUCACUGAGCUUAUCAGCCAAGCCUCGACCUGCGGGGAGCAAAGGGCAGAGCCCAGCACAAAACCUGGGGUGCUGUGUGAGGCAUGCAGGAUGAGGGCUGGGCAGGUCAACAGCUGUCCUGGGCCUCCGGGUCCAAGGCUCCUUGCAAAGAGGCCCUUGGGGAAUGUUUGCUUGCUGUAAGACAACUUUCCUGGAUGCCUGCACCAAAGUUUUCAGAUCCUGAUGCUCUGGCAAAUUUGUGUUUUUAAUACAUACACGGUCCACGUGCAGGUUUUCCUCAGCAUGACACAAACCCCACAAGCCAUAAAGGAAAACAAAAAGGGAUGGAUUUGAUUAAAUAAAAGUCAAAAACUUUUAUGUCCUAAAGAUAACCAUAAUCCAAGCUGAAAGUCAACAGACGGGGAGAAAGCACUCGCACUAUACGUAAUGGGGCUAUGUUUACACCUACAGUAUAAAGAGCUCCCGGAAAUCGAUAAGGAAAAACAUCGAGUCUAAAUGCCCGCCAAAACUGCUCACACCACUCAACCUCACUCAUCAUUUUUUUUAAACGUGAAAACAAGGGUUAGGUGCAUAUGAAGAGAGAAGGGGGCAGAUGCCUUAGCGGAAGGGCCCGGACGAAAAGAGCUAAAAAUGUGAGAUGUAGUCAUCUGUCCGAGGAGACCUCGGGCAGAGCGAGAUCCCUGUCUGGGGCAGGUUUCUAGAUAAUGUUUCAGUGGGAGUUGCAUAGAGAAUGGUAUCGGUUGGCGUUGUGUCUUUUGUAUCAAGCAUUAAACGUGGCUUUGUAGACCUUCCCCCUUCUCUGAGCAGUUCCAGGAUGUCGAUCACACUGUUCUCCACCACCCUCUGUGCUCUGGAAGACUGGGAACAGACGUGUUCGUGGGUCUGCUCUCCAGCUGUGCAAUCUGAGAGCAUGGAGGGGAAGUGGCCGAGCUCAGACCCUCAGCCGUCCUCAGUGAGUGUUACAACUGCUCCGGGGCACCUGCCCUGUCUCCUUGGGGGUCUGUCUGUGCCACGAGGGCUGCGGGCCAGAUGGUUGGAUGGGGGCGAGGAGGAGGAACAAGCAAGCGUUAAAGAAGAGAAAGGUGAGGUGUAAGGAGGGAACACAAACUUUAUAGUCAGGCGGCUUUGGGUUCGAAUCUCACUUCUGCCGCCUCCUGGCUGUAUGCUGUGGAGUACGUCAUGCCAUCCCUUUGAGUGUCAGGCUCCUCUUCCAUAAAAUGGGCACAUGUUCCCCCAUCUCGCCGUUUCCUUGUUGUUAUCUGUCCCACUCAACUGGAUAUAUUUCAAAGACAGCCUUACCCGGCUGUUGCUUAACUGUUUCAGCUCCCCAGACUAAACCACGUGAUUUCAUGGGCUGGUGCUGUGUCUCUGGAGGGGGCAGGGACCCCAGAGGUCAGAGACUGCUGGACUUAUGCCAGGGACCUGUCAUGGUCACUUCUGAACUUCCAGCCCCUGGCCCAUUGCCUUGUACAUGAAAGGCACAAAAUAAUGCCUGCAGGAUGAAUGAAUGAAAUUUAUGGGAGAGAAACCAGGAGUCCGAAGGGUGAGGUGAUAUCCUAAGGGCCAUACAACUCAUUAAUUACCUAGAGGGCUGUGAAGUCUUCUUUCUUUUUUAUCAUGGCCAAAUGAACAGGACAACCUAUAGCCAAUUAUAUUGGCUCCUGAAGUCUCCUGUUUGCUGAGAAAGUCUCAUUUUACACCUGUUUUCCCUUAUAAUAAUGCCCAUCUUCACUUUCAGAAAUGUCCUAUUGUGGGUGAUAAAUUGUCCGUUCUCCCUGUUACGAGGGAGAGUGGAGGGAAGGACUCUGUUUCCCUGACCCCAUCUCCUCCCCCACCCCUCAUUUCUCUUAACUUGUCAGAUACGCAAUUAAAAUGUCAUUCCAUUAGCUCUUCAUUGAAAGCCCCAUGUGAACUGUGCUCGUCCUAAAGGCAGCCUUCCCCCAGCAACACCCGUGAGCGUCCAGGUCAGCGAUCAAGGGUGUUCUCACCACCUGCACAUGCGCCAAGGGGGAUCCUCACGGCUUAACUGCCCUCCACUGUCUCACCAGCGAGGAGCGGUCCAAACGCACUGCCUUUGCCAGGUCUGUACCGAAGCAGCACCCCCUCCCACUCUGGCUAACUAGCGUCUUGCCUUCCUAUUGCUCAGGAAUGAUGGACGGGCACUCAUUCACCACAGCUCCCAGGGGGCUGGCAGCCUCUCCAGAGAAGGCUAGGCAGGCUGAGAUGAGCACUGGGGUCCUGAGGUCCAACCACCUGGAGAAGUGUUGGAUUGAGGGCAGGAGGAGAAGCAUCUAGAACAAAGAGAAAUGUUCCCCCCACCCACCCUAGGGAGAGCAUA
Molecule: long non-coding RNA, 5755 nt
Organism: Ailuropoda melanoleuca (giant panda)
Lineage: Eukaryota; Metazoa; Chordata; Mammalia; Carnivora; Ursidae
Exons: 4
Source: RefSeq, a predicted model, not a curated record